This 76-nucleotide microRNA precursor is filed under the name Astyanax mexicanus (Mexican tetra). Its description in RNAcentral is "mir-193 microRNA precursor family". It matches the Rfam family "mir-193 microRNA precursor family". Lineage: Eukaryota; Metazoa; Chordata; Actinopteri; Characiformes; Acestrorhamphidae. The record is from Rfam by way of RNAcentral.
GUCUGAGGCUGGGUCUUUGUGGGCAAGGUGAGUUCCUCCCUGCCUUCAACUGGCCUACAAAGUCCCAGUUUUAGGC